Molecule: long non-coding RNA, 464 nt
Organism: Micropterus dolomieu (smallmouth bass)
Lineage: Eukaryota; Metazoa; Chordata; Actinopteri; Centrarchiformes; Centrarchidae
Exons: 3
Source: RefSeq, a predicted model, not a curated record
GUUUGCUCCCUUCUCUCUGUGCUGGUCCAUCGUUUGUUUCAUGCGGUUCUACACUCUGGGUUUUGGAUUUAUCUCGUUCCAUGUUCCUCAUCUCUGGAUGUUGUGGGGUUUCUGUUUGGACUGUCACCGUCACCACACCUUUCCUGACUAACUGCAAACGAGGUGCAGCAUGUUCAUCAGUGAGCUUCAGAGACUGAACGGCCGCAGUGAGAAACUAACCUUUGACCCUGAGCAGCCGGCUUACACACACCCUGGAUCAGCAAAGUGAUCCAUUCAUUUAUUUUGUGGUAGUUUUUUGAUGUCGUGCGUUUCCUCUGUUCAGCAUUGUUGAUGUAUAUUUGCAUGUUCAGCUGUUUCUGUCCCCGUUUUCUUAUCUUAGUUUUUAGUCCAGCUUCUUAGUUCUUUGAGGUGUUUAUUAGUUUAGAUUUUACAGAUAUUCUGUGGUCUGUUUUGUUGUCGCUGGU